GGGGACACUGUUGGGACCGCUCUGCUAAAGAGAGGAAGGAAUGGGCAACGGUAGGUCAGCAUGCCCCGAAUUAUCUGGGCUACACGCGGGCUACAAUGGGUGGGACAAUGGGUAUCGACACCGAAAGGUGAAGGCAAUCUCCUAAACCCAUCCGUAGUUCGGAUUGUGGGCUGCAACUCGCCCACAUGAAGCUGGAAUCUGUAGUAAUCGUGUCUCAAAAUGGCACGGUGAAUAUGUCCCUGCUCCUU
RNAcentral lists this ribosomal RNA (248 nucleotides) under uncultured Methanomicrobiales archaeon. Its description in RNAcentral is "partial 16S ribosomal RNA". It matches the Rfam family "Archaeal small subunit ribosomal RNA", at positions 1089 to 1338 of the family's 1478-position model. The record is from RNAcentral. Lineage: Archaea; Methanobacteriati; Methanobacteriota; Methanomicrobia; Methanomicrobiales.